GGGGCGGGGUCACGCACGGGGUCACGUCCGUGAUGACGUCCUUCCGGCUCUGUGAGCCCGCCCUCACAGCCAGGCCUCCCAGGCGGAAGUGCGCGGUGCGUCCGGGAGAGCCGGCGGCGAAGGGAAGGUGAGUGUGACGGAAACAAAAGUGGAAACGGUCGAGCACGUGGAGAGAGGCCGGACUCCACCCUUCACUGGCCACGUAUCAGGCUCCAGUUGCUCAACUGUGGGAACAGUUAGGAAGAGUGAGUGGGAUGAGGGAACGUGUGAAGGCGUCCAGGGAAAGCAGCAGUCACUGCUAAGCAGGAUGGUGGAUUCAUAUUGAAAUGAAAGGGCAUUACUGAUUCCGUCAGAAGAUCCAAACAGGUGUGACAUUCCUACCUACCUAGUGUUGAGGCCACAGUAGAGUACUGAUUAUCCUUUUAUCAAAAAUGAUUAUCACCAAAGGACUCACUGUGGGAUAGGCAUUGACCACCAGCCUCUGGACACCCAGCAUGAUGGGACCAUAAGCCAGCAACACAAUCGUGCAGAAGGAGAUGACCAGGUCCACCCAGUACAUGACCACAAAGAAACUGACCAGGAGCAGGAUGAUCUGGGUGGCCCUUUUCUCCGGGGAGAUGCUCGGGGAGAGGGACAUGUUGUGCAGGUGCUGGGAUCGCCUCUGAUGCCUGAACAAGAGAGUCACCAUGUACACACUCGAGAGCAGCAUGCCGCCUACAAAGGACACGUCUCUCACUUGUAUCAUCAUGAAAAACAGGCUCCACCUGAGGUACCUUGCAGAGGAAAGUGAGCAGUAUUUACCAAAGCUCAGCACUUGGGUCUGGGUCACAUUAGAAGCAGCCACGGUAAACAAUAGCAGGUUACUACUGAAGGACAAACAGAGAAACCACAAAAAGAGUAAGGAAUGGAUGACGUAGUGUCUGGAUUUCUGUUUGAACCGUCCCAACCAAGAGGAGCUGGGGCUAAUAGUGACGGCCUGGAGCAUGCUCAGGAGGCAGGUGGUGCAGAUGGAGAGGCCCCGCAUCACCCUGGUCACAUAGAACAGAGCCUUACACCUGACGUCAUUCUGAAAACGCAGUGACUCAAACGGGCCUGGAGAAAAAAACACCGUCGUGAACAGCACCAGUAUGUGGACGAGGGCCAAGUUACCGGUGACCAGGUCAUGGGGCUUCGGCCUGUGAUCCAGAAAGAACGUGAGGAUGCGGAAGAGGAGGAGGAAGGUAUUGGCUGUGAGACCAAUGCCAGCUUGCAAAAAAAACGCAUUAUUUAAUGCUAACAUAAGUGAAAAGUGAUUGUUUUAAUGUCACCAUGAAAAUAUUUUUCAUAUCUGGAAAAAAGUAACAUAUAUCAUCACUUUCUUUUUGUUCAGUAGUAUAAUUACCCAUUACUAUUAUUUUUACUUCACCUAAUUAUUCUUAUUAUUUUAAGUUUCUAUGUCAUGAAAAAUUUUUAGGGGUUUUAUUAACCCUGAAUUUUUAAUAGACCUUAUUAUCACAUAUAAAUUAUUGAUAAUAUAGCCUUAGCAAUAUUUUCCCUACAAAAUAACACACACAUGUGUGUAUGUAUAUAUAAUUUAUAUGUCAUGUACAUAUUAUAUACAUAUGCUACCAACAUGUCCAAUUUUGCCCCAAUAUAGUGCCAAUUAUGUGUCCUUCUAUCCGAUUUGGGUCCCUGUAUAGAAAAUAUUUCUUUAUUCUUCCGUAUUCUUUCAUUUAACAUUUAGACCCUGAAGACUGAUGGGAAUAUAAGAUUACUCAAUAUUAUUUAUAAAGCUUAACUGAAUGAAAUUUUAUGCUGAUGAGAAAAGACUCAAACAAUAAAUUUGGCAAAAAUUCCAUUUGCAUCUUAUAGCACAUCACCUUCACAACUUCUAUUUUCAUCUCUCUUUCAUUUUUAUGGAAAUCUAUGCUUGUCCCCUCCCCCAUGAUAAUUCAGGAGAUCUUCUUCUUUUAUAUAAGAAGAUCAUUACCAAGGUGGAUUUUAUUUGCAAUCUCAUUUCUCUUUUCCAUAAGAUCUAACAUAUUCCCAAAGACUGGAGACUUAGGAUGUAUUGUUGAGGGGAGACAUUAGUUCACUUACCACAAGUCCUUUUAAUGGUAUUUCCUCAAGAUGUCCCUCUCUCCAUUCAGUUUCCAAUGCAGAGAUAUCACAUGCAGACUCACUUCAUCUUAGGAGUGGAUUGCUAAAAUUCAGCACUCAAUUAUCAGAACAAGAACUGCAGUUAUCCAUUAUAUGACAUCCGUAGAUGUGCAUCAGAAUAGUCACAUAAUAUGUAACCAAAGUGUUUGUGCUCCCAUAAUAUUCUGAAAUUACAGGUGAGAAUAAUCACAUAGUCAUCCUUUCAUUGAAACCUUACUUUUUGUACAGGCAGCCUCCCAUGCCAGAAAAAGUAUUUAGGUUUUCAAUAUUAGAUACUUCCCUUCAAGUUUUUAUCAGGAUAUCACCAAAAUCAUAACACUUCAUAAAAUUUCACUAGGUAAUUUUGCAAGUAUUGUCUCAUGAUAUUUGUCCUGGUUUCAGGCAUCAUUACUUUAUAAAAUUAGCUGAAUACACAGCCUAGAAGACUUCAAGUGUAUGAGAGGAAAAAGUGGAAAACAACUACCAUCAGUCAGAUUCCUCAGGGAUGGAAGACUGUUCCAUCAUGUUUCCAAGGACACUUCUAAUCAUAGCAGCCCAGAACUGUGAAUGUGUAUGACAAGGCAGAAACACUAAUGGUUUGUUUUCUUGGCUCAGACUCGAAGUCCGUAACUGAAGCAGAACACUGAUCCAAGACUCAUGAUAUUUAGGAGUUUAUAAAGGAGAAAUUGCUCACUUGAUUUAAUAGUUGCUACCCUUUCUCCCAAAGCUGAAACUAGCAAAAUGGCACAUGUGUCUUAACCUCCAGAACCAACUGAAUAAACGAUAGUCACCACCAACAUACACCUGCAAAUUCAGCGUCACUGCCCCGUGGAUGUAAAAUAGUAUUUGUGCGUGGACUACUAGUAUAUAAAGAUUUAUGUGUUAACUGUAUAUCGGAGAAAUGUUAUUCAUAGAUGACAUGUUUUAUAAGGGAUAAACAAAAAGAGAAAUAAUUUUAUACAAUGUGAUAGAGAAUAAUUUUAAUAUUUUCUUCUUUUACACCAUGGGGUAUCUGGCUCUCUCCCCACAGUCUAUGCCGCUCACCCUGUAAAUGGCCACCACAUACUAGAAAAGAGCAGAUCUUCUGGGCUGUGAAGUGAUGCCUUACUCUCUGCCAGGCAUUUGUGUUGAUAGGUGAGGUAUAAUUAUCUGUACUAAAACUUUUCAGAAGUUGUCUCGACUGCCAGAAUAAAACAAAUGACAUUUGGUACUAAGGAACAUCUUCUCCAAGAAGAGGCAUUUGUUGUUGAUUCAAAUUAUAAUCUUAGCCCUGUGUCCUGCAUUUCUACUUGAUUUAUCUGAAAUCUCCACCAUGGAGGAAUCCUGGGAGUGACAAUGGUAUGGUGGCAUCGUGGGAGCAAGAGAAGAGAAGCUAAUCCACAGAGGUCACCUACAGAUGGGGCAGAGUGCCAAAGAGAAGUGGGCCCUCACUGAUACAUUAAUAAUUAGUAAUUUGAAUUUAAUCUCAGCACUCACCGUGAGAAUUCACAGCCAGAGAUCUGUGGGGGCCGUGGGUGAAGCCAGUGACCAGAUCGUGCAGAGAAAGUGCAGCCUCAUUGCACUGGCUCUUACCUUACACUGUCCUCACUGUCACAGCCCAAGGUAUGGACACAAUGACACAUCGGAGGUAAGGGAGGAGAAAAUAAUGGCAUUCAAGUGAACAGGACAAAGAGACUGACUGAUCAUAAAGUCUGGAUUAGGUGACACAGAUGAGUUAAAGACAAAGACUGCACUGAAAUGAAGACUUUUACAAGAACCUAAGUGCUAUUUUGCCUACGAACGUGUUCCUCUGAAGAAACUGAAGCUUGGUCUUGAGCUCUCACCGCUGCUGAGCAGAGAGACACGCACUCACCCAGCUGAGUCUGCCGCGGGAGUCUGUGCCUGAGACGGCCCGAGACAUGCUUAUGAGGAAGGGGUGCCACCAGCUCCUCUCCCCCAAGGCCCACGAUUGUCGUGUCACCUGUGGAGUCAGGACGGCCCUCACCUUGGGAUUGCUGGAAAGGGGAGCCCACAGGGGAAACUGAACUCCUAAUUCCUGGAAAACAGCAGGAGCAGUGCAGCGGAAUCACCAUAUGUCACCGCAGCCUCCAACUCCUGAGCUCGAGCGAUCCUCCUGCCUGGGCCUCGCAGAAUGCUGAAAUCACAGGCGUGAGCACCAAGCCCAUGUAGGAGCCACUUUUCCCCAGUUGCUCCCCGCAAAUACAGGCACGUCCCCCAGUAGCCCUAGCAGGGUGUGCUCUGCCCACGAAAUGGUGCAGGGGCUCGGGUCCUGACGCCCUCUGGGCCGCGCCCCGGGGAAUUUGUGGGGCAGCGGGUCACACACAGGGUCACUUCUGUCAUAAGUUUUUUCCAGCUUCGUAAGACUGCCUCCCUCACAACCAGGCCUCCUCUGCAGAAGUGCCCUGUGAGUCCAGGAGAGCCGGCAGUAAACAGAAAGGCCUUGAGCUCUCACCGCUGCUGAAGCAGAGAGACACACACUCACCCAGCUGAGUCUGCCGCGGGAGUCUGUGCCUGAGACGGCCCGAGACAUGGUUAUGAGGAAGGGGCGCCACCGGCUCCUCUCCCCCAAGGCCUGCGAUUGUCAUGUCACCUGUGGAGUCAGGACGGCCCUCGCCUUGGGACUGCUGGAAAGGGGAGCCCACAGGGAAACUGAACUCCUAAUUCCUGGAAAACAGCAGGUGAGGAACAGCUGGGCUGCAAACUCCCCUGUGAGCUCCUUGUCCUGAUCACCAGCCUGGGGGGUUGGGAGUCUCCAGCUCACCCUGAUGCAAACACGAGUAGAUGCCCCUCCCAGUUCUCAGUGUGUCCCCACCG
Non-coding RNA from Microcebus murinus (gray mouse lemur), 4932 nucleotides. The record is from RefSeq and is a predicted model, not a curated record. Lineage: Eukaryota; Metazoa; Chordata; Mammalia; Primates; Cheirogaleidae.